This 253-nucleotide ribosomal RNA is filed under the name uncultured bacterium. RNAcentral describes it as "partial 16S ribosomal RNA". It matches the Rfam family "Bacterial small subunit ribosomal RNA", at positions 524 to 776 of the family's 1533-position model. The record is from RNAcentral.
UUCGUAGGGUGCAAGCGUUGUCCGGAAUUAUUGGGCGUAAAGAGCUCGUAGGCGGUCUGUCGCGUCUGCUGUGAAAACUCGGGGCUUAACCCCGGGCCUGCAGUGGGUACGGGCAGACUAGAGUGCGGUAGGGGAGAGUGGAAUUCCUGGUGUAGCGGUGAAAUGCGCAGAUAUCAGGAAGAACACCUAUGGCGAAAGCAGCUCUCUGGGACGGUACUGACGCUGAGACGCGAAAGCGUGGGGAGCGAACAGG